This 416-nucleotide ribosomal RNA is filed under the name uncultured bacterium. Its description in RNAcentral is "bacterial SSU rRNA". It matches the Rfam family "Bacterial small subunit ribosomal RNA", at positions 359 to 775 of the family's 1533-position model. The record is from RNAcentral.
GAAUCUUGCGCAAUGGUCGAAAGACUGACGCAGCGACGCCGCGUGCGGGAGGAAGCCCUUCGGGGUGUAAACCGCUGUUACUCGGGACGAACUUCUCGAUUCAUCGAGAUUGACGGUACCGGGGGAGGAAGCACCGGCUAACUCUGUGCCAGCCGCCGCGGUAAUACAGAGGGUGCGAGCGUUGUCCGGAAUCACUGGGCGUAAAGGGCGCGUAGGCGGCUUCUCAAGCGUGCGGUGAAAGCUCGGGGCUUAACUCCGAGUCUGCCGUGCGAACUGGGAGGCUUGAGUCUGGUAGAGGUCGAUGGAAUUCCGGGUGUAGCGGUGGAAUGCGUAGAGAUCCGGAAGAACACCGGUGGCGAAGGCGGUCGACUGGGCCAGAACUGACGCUGAGGCGCGACAGCGUGGGGAGCAAACAG